This 440-nucleotide ribosomal RNA is filed under the name uncultured bacterium. RNAcentral describes it as "partial 16S ribosomal RNA". It matches the Rfam family "Bacterial small subunit ribosomal RNA", at positions 338 to 795 of the family's 1533-position model. The record is from RNAcentral.
CCUACGGGUGGCAGCAGUGGGGGAUAUUGCACAAUGGGGGGAACCCUGAUGCAGCGACGCCGCGUGGGUGAAGAAGCGUUUCGGCGCGUACAGCCCUAUCAGCAGGGAAGAAGAUGACGGUACCUGACGAAGAAGCCCCGGCUAACUACGUGCCAGCAGCCGCGGUAAUACGUAGGGGGCAAGCGUCAUCCGGAUUUACUGGGUGUAAAGGGGGCGCAGACGGCGAUGCAAGCCAGGAGGGAAAGCCCGGGGCCCAACCCCGGGACUGCUCUUGGAACUGCAUGGCUGGAGUGCAGGAGGGGCAGGCGGAAUGCCUAGGGUAGCGGUGAAAUGCGUAGAUAUUAGGAGGAACACCGGUGGCGAAGGCGGCCUGCUGGACUGUGACUGACGUUGAGGCCCGAAGGCGUGGGGAGCAAACAGGAUUAGAUACCCCUGUAGUC